RNAcentral lists this ribosomal RNA (84 nucleotides) under Ailuropoda melanoleuca (giant panda). The record is from RNAcentral. Lineage: Eukaryota; Metazoa; Chordata; Mammalia; Carnivora; Ursidae.
GUCUAUGGCCAUACCACCCUGAAUGCCCGAUCUUUUCUGAUCUCAGGAGCUAAGCAGGGUCAGGCCUGGUCAGCGCUUGGAUGG